AAUGACGAGAGCUUGCUCUCUGAUUUUAGCGGCGGACGGGUGAGUAACACGUGGGCAACCUGCCCUACAGAUGGGGAUAACUCCGGGAAACCGGGGCUAAUACCGAAUAAUCAGUUUGUCCGCAUGGACAAACUCUGAAAGACGGUUUCGGCUGUCACUGUAGGAUGGGCCCGCGGCGCAUUAGCUAGUUGGUGGGGUAAUGGCCUACCAAGGCAACGAUGCGUAGCCGACCUGAGAGGGUGAUCGGCCACACUGGGACUGAGACACGGCCCAGACUCCUACGGGAGGCAGCAGUAGGGAAUCUUCCACAAUGGACGAAAGUCUGAUGGAGCAAUGCCGCGUGAGCGAAGAAGGUUUUCGGAUCGUAAAGCUCUGUUGUAAGGGAAGAACACGUACGGGAGUAACUGCCCGUGCCAUGACGGUACCUUAUUAGAAAGCCACGGCUAACUACGUGCCAGCAGCCGCGGUAAUACGUAGGUGGCAAGCGUUGUCCGGAAUUAUUGGGCGUAAAGCGCGCGCAGGCGGUUCUUUAAGUCUGAUGUGAAAGCCCACGGCUCAACCGUGGAGGGUCAUUGGAAACUGGAGAACUUGAGUACAGAAGAGGAAAGCGGAAUUCCACGUGUAGCGGUGAAAUGCGUAGAGAUGUGGAGGAACACCAGUGGCGAAGGCGGCUUUCUGGU
This 680-nucleotide ribosomal RNA is filed under the name Sporosarcina psychrophila. RNAcentral's name for it is "bacterial SSU rRNA". It matches the Rfam family "Bacterial small subunit ribosomal RNA", at positions 69 to 733 of the family's 1533-position model. The record is from RNAcentral. Lineage: Bacteria; Bacillati; Bacillota; Bacilli; Caryophanales; Caryophanaceae.